UUGAGGAGUACAGUCAGAACAGGUCAGGGGCCAGACUUAACUCUGGCCUCUGUCUGCUUGUUGGGAAUUAUGUUCCAGGUCAGGUUGUGUGCUACCCAGAUCUUCUAUCCAUUCUGAGCCAUCCUAUGCUGGAUCCCUGUGCCCGAAGAGGAAUUCCACAUCGCCCCAACACACCUGCUGCAGCUCACUGCAACCUCCCUAGGUUCACACUGUGCUGUAGAAUGGACGCUUUCCCACAACCAGCUGGCCCAGGCUGCCAUUCCCACCCAUUCCCACCUGCCCUUGGAUGAGACUUGUCUACUGGUGGUCUCCAACAUGCCACACAGUGGCCAAGAGCAGGGACCUGCUUCCUGGAGUGGCUGAAAGUGCUCGGACGGACAGCCAAGCCCAUCAUGGCGGACAGCGGGACAGUGGGGCGCGAUCAGGCACUUGGAGCCAGGCAGGUGAGGGCAGGGGCCAAGAGGAGCUGGAGGCCCGAGGGUCCUAUUCUGGUCCCAGGGCUUGGGGAUACCCACCACCGUGGGCUAGCAGGAGGAUGGACGUGGACUUGAUCCCAAGAGCCUGGCCUGGCCGCAGCAGCAGCUCUACAGAAUCAAGGCAAGCGCUGGGGCCCCGGUUUGGGAGUGGGGAGGCACUCCGAUGUCAAGGCUAUCUAUGCUCAAUCAGUGGC
This 670-nucleotide long non-coding RNA is filed under the name Cricetulus griseus (Chinese hamster). RNAcentral's name for it is "lncRNA (ENSCGRG00015030798.1)". The record is from RNAcentral. Lineage: Eukaryota; Metazoa; Chordata; Mammalia; Rodentia; Cricetidae.